This 1616-nucleotide ribosomal RNA is filed under the name uncultured bacterium. RNAcentral describes it as "bacterial SSU rRNA". It matches the Rfam family "Bacterial small subunit ribosomal RNA". The record is from RNAcentral.
CCGUGUCCCGAGCUCUGAUAGAGUUUGAUCCUGGCUCGAUUGAACGCUAGCGGGAUGCUUUACACAUGCAAGUCGAACGGCAGCACGAGAGAGCUUGCUCUCUUGGUGGCGAGUGGCGGACGGGUGAGUAAUAUAUCGGAACGUGCCCAGUAGCGGGGGAUAACUGGCCGAAAGGUCAGCUAAUACCGCAUACGCCCUACGGGGGAAAGGGGGGGAUUCUUCGGAACCUCUCACUAUUGGAGCGGCCGAUAUCGGAUUAGCUAGUUGGUGGGGUAAUGGCCUACCAAGGCGACGAUCCGUAGCUGGUUUGAGAGGACGACCAGCCACACUGGGACUGAGACACGGCCCAGACUCCUACGGGAGGCAGCAGUGGGGAAUUUUGGACAAUGGGGGAAACCCUGAUCCAGCCAUCCCGCGUGUGCGAUGAAGGCCUUCGGGUUGUAAAGCACUUUUGUCAGGGAAGAAAAGGUUCUGGCUAAUACCCGGAACUGAUGACGGUACCUGAAGAAUAAGCACCGGCUAACUACGUGCCAGCAGCCGCGGUAAUACGUAGGGUGCAAGCGUUAAUCGGAAUUACUGGGCGUAAAGCGUGCGCAGGCGGUUCGGAAAGAAGGAUGUGAAAUCCCAGGGCUCAACCUUGGAACUGCAUUCUUAACUACCGAACUAGAGUAUGUCAGAGGGGGGUAGAAUUCCGCGUGUAGCAGUGAAAUGCGUAGAUAUGCGGAGGAAUACCGAUGGCGAAGCAGCCCCCUGGGAUAAUACUGACGCUCAUGCACGAAAGCGUGGGUAGCAAACAGGAUUAGAUACCCUGGUAGUCCACGCCCUAAACGAUGUCAACUAGCUGUUGGGUACUGACGCUCAUGCACGAAAGCGUGGGUAGCAAACAGGAUUAGAUACCCUGGUAGUCCACGCCCUAAACGAUGUCAACUAGCUGUUGGGCCCUUCGGGGCUUAGUAGCGUAGCUAACGCGUGAAGUUGACCGCCUGGGGAGUACGGUCGCAAGAUUAAAACUCAAAGGAAUUGACGGGGACCCGCACAAGCGGUGGAUGAUGUGGAUUAAUUCGAUGCAACGCGAAAAACCUUACCUACCCUUGACAUGUCUGGAAUCCUUUAGAGAUAGAGGAGUGCUCGCAAGAGAACCGGAACACAGGUGCUGCAUGGCUGUCGUCAGCUCGUGUCGUGAGAUGUUGGGUUAAGUCCCGCAACGAGCGCAACCCUUGUCAUUAGUUGCCAGCAUUCAGUUGGGCACUCUAAUGAGACUGCCGGUGACAAACCGGAGGAAGGUGGGGAUGACGUCAAGUCCUCAUGGCCCUUAUGGGUAGGGCUUCACACGUCAUACAAUGGUCGGGACAGAGGGUUGCCAAACCGCGAGGUGGAGCCAAUCUCAGAAACCCGAUUGUAGUCCGGAUUGCAGGCUGCAACUCGCCUGCAUGAAGUCGGAAUCGCUAGUAAUCGCGGAUCAGCAUGUCGCGGUGAAUACGUUCCCGGGUCUUGUACACACCGCCCGUCACACCAUGGGAGUGGGUUUUACCAGAAGUAGUUAGCCUAACCGCAAGGGGGGCGAUUACCACGGUAGGAUUCAUGACUGGGGUGAAGUCGUAACAAGGUAGCCGUAA